RNAcentral lists this ribosomal RNA (274 nucleotides) under uncultured bacterium. RNAcentral's name for it is "partial 16S ribosomal RNA". It matches the Rfam family "Bacterial small subunit ribosomal RNA", at positions 523 to 796 of the family's 1533-position model. The record is from RNAcentral.
ACACAGAGGGUGCGAGCGUUAAUCGGAAUUACUGGGCGUAAAGCGCGCGUAGGCGGCUUAUUAAGUCAGAUGUGAAAUCCCCGGGCUCAACCUGGGAACUGCAUCUGAUACUGGUAAGCUAGAGUUUUGGAGAGGGAAGUAGAAUUUCAGGUGUAGCGGUGAAAUGCAUAGAGAUCUGAAGGAAUACCAGUGGCGAAGGCGACUUCCUGGCCAAAAACUGACGCUGAGGUGCGAAAGCGUGGGUAGCAAACGGGAUUAGAAACCCGAGUAGUCC